Molecule: long non-coding RNA, 334 nt
Organism: Acinonyx jubatus (cheetah)
Lineage: Eukaryota; Metazoa; Chordata; Mammalia; Carnivora; Felidae
Exons: 3
Source: RefSeq, a predicted model, not a curated record
AAAAAAACAAAUAAUGACAAAACCAGUUAUUUUCCUCAUGGAGUAGAGAGAAGAGUAGCAGUCUGAAUGAGUCACUUCUUGUCCUAUGCAGAAGCUGGAGGUUUCAGAAGUCUACAUAAGCAUUUAUGAUGAGGAAACUGAGGCACAGGGUAGUCUGUAAAUUGUUCCAGCUUACCAGCCAGCAAGUAGCAAAGACAGAGCUGAAAUCCAGCCAUGACAAACUGCAAAGGGGAAUAUUGCAGAGAUGUGAUCCAUGGGUCAUGUGGAUUCCUGCUUGAGACCAGGUUAUCAGCAAAGAAGAGAGCGUCCAAGGUAGGGAGAUGGUAAGUGAGCA